CUACUGGGAAGUCGCAUCAAGGCUGGAAGCAAAGCAGGACUUUGAAAUCCAGGGUCAGCCUUUUUUUCCACUCUCCCUGUCUACCGGCUUCUUGAACUGCACGAGGUCCGCGUGUACUUACAGAACCGUGAGCGAGUCGCACGUCAGGAAGGUGGAGUUCGUUAUGAACUUUAUCCCAUUGUUUGCCAGAUCCCUGAAAGCCACAGAGGGAAACACUUCAGGCACUUUUGGGGAACUGGGGCGGAUGGAGAAAAGCCCAAACUUUUGCAAAUGAGCGACACAUCUCUUCACCUGAACAUUGUGACCGCUAAGCUGAAAGGUCUGAAUGCUGAAUAGGUUUGCUGAACACAGUUGCCAAGUCAACAAGAAAACCACGCACGGCUUCUGAAAAUCUGUCCAGUGCUCU
Molecule: long non-coding RNA, 406 nt
Filed under: Rattus norvegicus (Norway rat)
Lineage: Eukaryota; Metazoa; Chordata; Mammalia; Rodentia; Muridae
Description: long non-coding RNA NONRATT007241
Source: RNAcentral